This 431-nucleotide small RNA is filed under the name Pan troglodytes (chimpanzee). RNAcentral describes it as "processed transcript". The record is from RNAcentral. Lineage: Eukaryota; Metazoa; Chordata; Mammalia; Primates; Hominidae.
CUAAAAGCAAUUGAAUUGUACACUUUAUGUGGGUGAAUUGUAUGCCGUAUGAAUUGUAUGCCGUAUAUCUCAACAUUGUAUUAGAAAAUAAAAUUAGUGAAGCAUAGAAGUUAUGGAGAAAUACUGGAAAGAAGAAAUACAAGAACUCAAGGAAGAGACAGCCAGACAACAGUAGGAUGUGAAAUGGGAACCAGCAGAAAAAAAGAAAUAGAGAAAAAUGAUCAAGCCAUUUCAGAAGUACACAAGGGAGACUAGACACCAUGGCAAAGAUCAUAAAAGUAGAAAUGAAAUUUUAUGCAUUUAUGACAUUAACAGAGAACAGGACUAUGUCAAGAAUUCUGAGGGUAUACUUGGUGAAAAUGAAUUAAGACCACCCUCCCAGCUACAUUCUCUCUUAGAGAAGAUCGAGACAGGGUCCCUAUCAGAAAAGA